AGAACAAGCCCUCCUUUUCUCCCCCCCCAACAGACUUGUCUUGGAAAAGAUGGAGAAGAGCCAGUAAACUUGGCUUCCUCGCUUCUGCUCAUAUGCGGGCUAAUGGUUUGAAGAUAUUGGCCUAGCAAGAUGGCCACAAGCUUAAAAACAGGAUUCCUAAGAAGUUACUUUUCUCAGACAUCUCAAACCCCCAAACGAGAGAAGAUGCUGAGGCCUGUUGCCACAAACCCGUAGAUCCGAACUUGUGAUGAUAGUCCACACAAGCUUGUGUCUAUAGGUAUGUGUCUG
Molecule: long non-coding RNA, 288 nt
Filed under: Ursus maritimus (polar bear)
Lineage: Eukaryota; Metazoa; Chordata; Mammalia; Carnivora; Ursidae
Description: lncRNA (ENSUMAG00000022556.1)
Rfam family: mir-10 microRNA precursor family (bases 219-288)
Source: RNAcentral